This 106-nucleotide transfer RNA is filed under the name Ascochyta rabiei. RNAcentral's name for it is "Didymella rabiei tRNA". It matches the Rfam family "tRNA". From Rfam's summary of the family: Transfer RNA (tRNA) molecules are approximately 80 nucleotides in length. Their secondary structure includes four short double-helical elements and three loops (D, anti-codon, and T loops). Lineage: Eukaryota; Fungi; Ascomycota; Dothideomycetes; Pleosporales; Didymellaceae. The record is from Rfam by way of RNAcentral.
GCUUCCUUGGUGUAGUCGGUUAUCACGUCGGUCUCAUAUCUCGUCGAGUAUGACUGUUCUUAGAACAGAAAUCCGAAGGCCGCCAGUUCGAAUCUGGCAGGGAGCA